UUUUUCAAAAUAUAUUCAAUUUUAUGAUGUCAAUAUAAAUAGUGUUUUAAAACACUGUUUAUACAUAUAUAAAUCUGAAUAAAAGGUGCGCACAAAGGUAAAAUUUCAAUUUUUCUUCAUCACAAG
RNAcentral lists this small RNA (126 nucleotides) under Arabidopsis thaliana (thale cress). RNAcentral describes it as "ATSL260250". The record is from RNAcentral. Lineage: Eukaryota; Viridiplantae; Streptophyta; Magnoliopsida; Brassicales; Brassicaceae.